UCUUCUUUCCUCCCUCCCUUCCUUCCUUCUCUCCUUUUUCUUCUGAAAAGAGUCACAGAGAGAAGGCCAAGAACAAGAGACAACAUAUUAAUAAUUGCAUCAGAUGGAAUGGAUUUUCCAAAAGACCACUACAACUGAAGGCAAGAAAGAAGUCAAAAGUUACUAUAAUCAUAACAUUGGAAUCCCUGUCUGUUGCGGAAACCCCACGACAUUUUUAUGAAGAGGCAACACUCUUGGCAAACUCUUCUUUGAAUGGCAAAAGAGAACUAUUCUGGCUAGAUUCUAUCCAGGUCAAGACCUUUUUCAUUAUCUGUCAAACACUCCAAAAUCAAGAGCCAGGCUGGGAUGAGCGGAAACUCUGAUUAUGUUUAUAAUAAAAAUUAAAUCCCUCAAUCCUUAACCAACAGAAGAUUUA
This is a long non-coding RNA of Phacochoerus africanus (Common warthog), 415 nucleotides long. RefSeq lists it as uncharacterized. The transcript is spliced from 2 exons. Lineage: Eukaryota; Metazoa; Chordata; Mammalia; Artiodactyla; Suidae. The record is from RefSeq and is a predicted model, not a curated record.